AGUUGGGCACUCUAAAGAGACUGCCGGUGUCAAACCGGGAGGAAGGUGGGGAUGACGUCAAGUCCUCAUGGCCUUUAUGACCAGGGCUACACACGUACUACAAUGGCCGGUACAAAGGGCAGCCACUUAGCGAUAAGGAGCCAAUCCCGUAAAGCCGGUCUCAGUCCGGAUUGGAGUCUGCAACUCGACUCCAUGAAGUUGGAAUCGCUAGUAAUCGCAGAUCAGCACGCUGCGGUGAAUACGUUCCCGGGCCUU
This 255-nucleotide ribosomal RNA is filed under the name uncultured Desulfocapsa sp. RNAcentral describes it as "partial 16S ribosomal RNA". It matches the Rfam family "Bacterial small subunit ribosomal RNA", at positions 1129 to 1382 of the family's 1533-position model. The record is from RNAcentral. Lineage: Bacteria; Pseudomonadati; Thermodesulfobacteriota; Desulfobulbia; Desulfobulbales; Desulfocapsaceae.